CUUCUCUUGCUCUGUCUCUCUCCCUUUCUCUUUCUCUCAUGGGUCCAAACAUUCCGUGGAUGUUAAAAGAUAAAAAGCAGCUGUUCUCUUUCAAAACUUGGCCUCUCAAAAUGUGAAGAUGUGUGAACGGAGCCUCCAGGAGAACCGCCAGCUCAGAAGGUGAUAAAGCAAAGGACCCUUCAGCAUCUCACAUUGGAAACUCCUUAAGGAGCUACAUCGGCCCCUCGUUCCUACCAGCUAUGAAGUUAUCUACUUCUUGUUUAUCUCAUCAAGGCUUUGACAUAUUGCCAUCACGGACAAACAGGAUAAUUAGACAUCGAUUCUGCCAAGACAGGCUCACUGUCUACAAAUGUUAUUGGAUGAAGACAUCAACCACUACACAGCAAGUUGGAGAGAUCCCCAUAUCAAAGAAGCAGGGAUGUCAGAGACAGGGGCUCUGCACUCAGAACAAGGGCUCCUGCCACCGAGGGUCGGGUCACUUGACCUGGAGGCAGUUGGCUUAAGCCGUGAAGGCCGUGUGAGAUGGCCACUUUGAGAGGAGAUGGGUGGCUGGGAGGCCUGACAGAUGGAGAACCUGGGCAGAUACAAAGGACCACUGUCUGGGCCAUAGUUGUCUCUCAAAAUGAACCAUUGGAUGACUGCUUCCGGCGCAGAGAAUGAACAGAAAAUGGGAGUAACAUCCGGACCAGAGGCAGGGAGCCUCACAUAAGGGCCUCAAGGCUUCCGCCUUUACACUGCUGGGCAAAAGGGGCUCCGGGGGGUUUGGGGCAGUGACGAGGGACUCCAAGACUUUGGCCAAACCUGUGCCGACGGAAGGCCCUGUCCCACGGCUGGAUUAUGUGGUGGACCCCUCCUUGCAGCGGGCCCCAAACUGCUGUCCUGCAUCUUAGUUCCCUGUGAC
Molecule: long non-coding RNA, 901 nt
Filed under: Bos indicus x Bos taurus (hybrid cattle)
Lineage: Eukaryota; Metazoa; Chordata; Mammalia; Artiodactyla; Bovidae
Description: lncRNA (ENSBIXG00000021156.1)
Source: RNAcentral